CUCAGAUGAAACGCUGGCGGCAGGCCUAACACAUGCAAGUCGAACGGUAACAGGAAGCAGCUUGCUGCUUUGCUGACGAGUGGCGGACGGGUGAGUAAUGUCUGGGAAACUGCCUGAUGGAGGGGGAUAACUACUGGAAACGGUAGCUAAUACCGCAUAACGUCGCAAGACCAAAGAGGGGGACCUUCGGGCCUCUUGCCAUCGGAUGUGCCCAGAUGGGAUUAGCUAGUAGGUGGGGUAACGGCUCACCUAGGCGACGAUCCCUAGCUGGUCUGAGAGGAUGACCAGCCACACUGGAACUGAGACACGGUCCAGACUCCUACGGGAGGCAGCAGUGGGGAAUAUUGCACAAUGGGCGCAAGCCUGAUGCAGCCAUGCCGCGUGUAUGAAGAAGGCCUUCGGGUUGUAAAGUACUUUCAGCGGGGAGGAAGGGAGUAAAGUUAAUACCUUUGCUCAUUGACGUUACCCGCAGAAGAAGCACCGGCUAACUCCGUGCCAGCAGCCGCGGUAAUACGGAGGGUGCAAGCGUUAAUCGGAAUUACUGGGCGUAAAGCGCACGCAGGCGGUUUGUUAAGUCAGAUGUGAAAUCCCCGGGCUCAACCUGGGAACUGCAUCUGAUACUGGCAAGCUUGAGUCUCGUAGAGGGGGGUAGAAUUCCAGGUGUAGCGGUGAAAUGCGUAGAGAUCUGGAGGAAUACCGGUGGCGAAGGCGGCCCCCUGGACGAAGACUGACGCUCAGGUGCGAAAGCGUGGGGAGCAAACAGGAUUAGAUCCCCUGGUAGUCCACGCCGUAAACGAUGUCGACUUGGAGGUUGUGCCCUUGAGGCGUGGCUUCCGGAGCUAACGCGUUAAGUCGACCGCCUGGGGAGUACGGCCGCAAGGUUAAAACUCAAAUGAAUUGACGGGGGCCCGCACAAGCGGUGGAGCAUGUGGUUUAAUUCGAUGCAACGCGAAGAACCUUACCUGGUCUUGACAUCCACGGAAGUUUUCAGAGAUGAGAAUGUGCCUUCGGGAACCGUGAGACAGGUGCUGCAUGGCUGUCGUCAGCUCGUGUUGUGAAAUGUUGGGUUAAGUCCCGCAACGAGCGCAACCCUUAUCCUUUGUUGCCAGCGGUCCGGCCGGGAACUCAAAGGAGACUGCCAGUGAUAAACUGGAGGAAGGUGGGGAUGACGUCAAGUCAUCAUGGCCCUUACGACCAGGGCUACACACGUGCUACAAUGGCGCAUACAAAGAGAAGCGACCUCGCGAGAGCAAGCGGACCUCAUAAAGUGCGUCGUAGUCCGGAUUGGAGUCUGCAACUCGACUUCAUGAAGUCGGAAUCGCUAGUAAUCGUGGAUCAGAAUGCCACGGUGAAUACGUUCCCGGGUUUUGUACACACCGCUCGUCACUCCAUGGGUGUGGGUUGCAAAAGAAGUAGGUAGCUUAACCUUCGGGAGGGCGCUUACCACUUUGUGAUUCAUGAGUGGGGUGUAGUAGUAACAAGGUA
This 1485-nucleotide ribosomal RNA is filed under the name uncultured bacterium. Its description in RNAcentral is "bacterial SSU rRNA". It matches the Rfam family "Bacterial small subunit ribosomal RNA". The record is from RNAcentral.